GACGAACGCUGGCGGCGUGCCUAAUACAUGCAAGUCGAACGCUGAAGAGAGGAGCUUGCUCUUCUUGGCUGAGUUGCGAACGGGUGAGUAACGCGUAGGUAACCUGCCUUGUAGCGGGGGAUAACUAUUGGAAACGAUAGCUAAUACCGCAUAACAAUGGAUGACACAUGUCAUUUAUUUGAAAGGGGCAAUUGCUCCACUACAAGAUGGACCUGCGUUGUAUUAGCUAGUAGGUGAGGUAAUGGCUCACCUAGGCGACGAUACAUAGCCGACCUGAGAGGGUGAUCGGCCACACUGGGACUGAGACACGGCCCAGACUCCUACGGGAGGCAGCAGUAGGGAAUCUUCGGCAAUGGGGGCAAACCUGACCGAGCAACGCCGCGUGAGUGAAGAAGGUUUUCGGAUCGUAAAGCUCUGUUGUAAGUCAAGAGCGGGCGUGAGAGUGGAAAGUUCACACUGUGACGGUAGCUUACCAGAAAGGGACGGCUAACUACGUG
RNAcentral lists this ribosomal RNA (497 nucleotides) under uncultured bacterium. Its description in RNAcentral is "partial 16S ribosomal RNA". It matches the Rfam family "Bacterial small subunit ribosomal RNA", at positions 28 to 507 of the family's 1533-position model. The record is from RNAcentral.